Molecule: ribosomal RNA, 447 nt
Filed under: uncultured bacterium
Lineage: Bacteria
Description: partial 16S ribosomal RNA
Rfam family: Bacterial small subunit ribosomal RNA
Source: RNAcentral
UGCCCAGACUCCUACGGGAGGCAGCAGUGGGGAAUAUUGCACAAUGGGGGAAACCCUGAUGCAGCAACGCCGCGUGAGCGAAGAAGUCUUUCGGUAUGUAAAGCUCUAUCAGCAGGGAAGAAAUUGACGGUACCUGAGUAAGAAGCUCCGGCUAAAUACGUGCCAGCAGCCGCAGUAAUACGUAGGGGGCAAGCGUUAUCCGGAUUUACUGGGUGUAAAGGGGGCGCAGACGGCGAUGCAAGCCAGGAGUGAAAGCCCGGGGCCCAACCCCGGGACUGCUCUUGGAACUGCGUGGCUGGAGUGCAGGAGGGGCAGGCGGAAUUCCUGGUGUAGCGGUGAAAUGCGUAGAUAUUAGGAGGAACACCAGUGGCGAAGGCGGCCUGCUGGACGAUGACUGACGCUGAGGCUCGAAAGCGUGGGGAGCAAACAGGAUUAGAUACCCUAGUA